GCCAAGCCGCGGGGAGCGUCGGAAGCCGUGCUUUCACAGCUCCCUCUCGUAUUGCGGGUCGCUAUCCGGGCGUUUUUGGGAAGCUUCUUAACUGGUUGUCUGCUUCUCGGUCAGACCUUGCGGUUCUCCAACCGAAGCGGGAUCGGGCUGCUUCCUGCGCGGGCCGCGCCGGGCAUGGCUGCGUCGGGUCUGGAUCAUCUCAAAAAUGACUACAGAAGAAGAUUUUGCCGGCCUCCCAGGGCACCCAGCAUUCAUACAGAGCAAGGCCAGAACAUGUUGGAAAUCUUACAGAACUGUUUUUGAAGAAAAAAGUCUCAUCAAUGAUUUUAUCACACAUUCUACAGAAUCAGUGCUUUAUUCACCAACCAAAGUGAAAGACAGUUAUAUUCCAUCACCAAGCAAAGAGAUAAGUCAAAAAGGAGAACCAAUGCAGGUUUAGUAUUUUAAUGAGCGAAACUAUAUACAAAGUACUUAGGUACAUUUUAGUUGUUAUAAGUCUUAUUCUUACAAAGAGAAUCCUUUAUUCCUAUUGACUUUGUAUAAAAUUUGUGGGUGUUUUAUGAAAGUUUUGAUUUCAUUUUACCUGUAUUUGAAAUUGGGUGUUUGGAAUUAGAAUUAACAAAUUAUAGCAGUCAUUUUUCAUUUCAUGUUUUUGGCAGUACUGGGGUUUGAACUCAGGGCCUCGUGCUUUCUAGGCUGGCACUUUACCACUUGAGCGACGACCCCGGUCCUCAUCUUUUAUUUCUUCUAAAAUAAUACUGAAUUAGAUUUUAGGGAGAUGGACAUCACUUUGGCACAGGUUCUACCACUGAGCUGUAUCUUUAAUCUGAGUUUUUAAAGCUAAUGAACAAAAGCAAAUUAUGAGAAAGUACAGUGCUAAUUUGAAAAACUAUACGGUGCUGGAAAUAAUAUUCACUAAUAACUUGUAAAAACGCUAUCAGCAUAGGAACAUUUUAAGAAAUGAAGACAGACAAUUCUUUCAGAAUUGAGAGGCCUUCUAUAAUGGGGUAAAUAAUUUAAGUUGAUUUUUGAAAGUUAAAAUCAACUUUUAAAUUUCCUGUGAUAAAUAAACUUGACUUGAUCAUAAAGUAUUAUUUUUUU
This 1101-nucleotide long non-coding RNA is filed under the name Castor canadensis (American beaver). RNAcentral describes it as "lncRNA (ENSCCNG00000001172.1)". The record is from RNAcentral. Lineage: Eukaryota; Metazoa; Chordata; Mammalia; Rodentia; Castoridae.